This 781-nucleotide small RNA is filed under the name Arabidopsis thaliana (thale cress). Its description in RNAcentral is "ATSL157560". Lineage: Eukaryota; Viridiplantae; Streptophyta; Magnoliopsida; Brassicales; Brassicaceae. The record is from RNAcentral.
UUAAUUUUUGUGUUAAUAUAUAAAUAAUAACAUAUAUUUAUAAAUCAUUAAUACACAAAUAAAUCAAAAUAUACAUUUUUAAACUUUAACAUACAUAUUAUUAAAUCCGUUGAAUAGUUUCAUCAUAAAAGAUUGAAAAAAAUCAUAAAUUUUUACAAGUAAAUUGAUUAUAGAUCGUAUAUAAGCUUAUAGUGGAUAAUAAUUGUCAAAAUUUCUAGAAGUAUUGUGAUGUUUCUAUUUCCUGUAAUUGCAUUUGCAUAGUUUUUAAUUAAAUAAAAGGGAUAAAACUAUACUUAUUGCAUAAAUAGAGAUAUAUAUACAUAUAUAAAAUUUUAAUAGUGCAAAGAAAUGAAGAAAAUUGAUAUAUAACAAUUCUCUGGACAUCAAGGAGUAAUAACAAGGUUGUUGACCUUCGCACAAAAAAAUUUAACACGUGAAUUCAACCUUCACAAAAAAAUAACAAUAUAAGCAGCUAUUAAAAAAAAAUUGAUUUCUUUCUUAGAAUACGGUUUUGCUUAAAACCGCUAGGUAAAUGAUUAUUCUUCUUUGGGAGAUUUGCAAAACUACCAUUUUUUACUACCCUUUUAUGUUGUCCAUUUUUAAAAAUACCCCUUCUCUUGAACAAAAUGACCAAAUUACCCUCAUCUAAUAGAAACAUGUAACUGGAAACUGAACUUUUCCCGCCAAUUUUUUGGCGCCAAAAUUUUUUUUUCCCACAAAAAAAUAAGUUUUCGUCAAAAAAAUUUCCCGUCAAAAAAAAAAAAAUUUCCCGCCAAAAAAA